GAGAGUAAUCCCAAUGAAAAUAAUAUGGCCAAACUACGAAGCACAAUUAUGAUCUGGUAUAGGACACUAGCCCUACUUUAAACUCAAAAACAUCAGUCAUUGAGAAGACUUUCCUUGAAUAGGGAGACAACCUUAUAGAAAAUCAGCUGCAUGAAAUAUAAUUAAAGAAUUAAAGAUCACCUUAGCUCUAUGUUGCAAAAG
RNAcentral lists this unclassified non-coding RNA (201 nucleotides) under Hevea brasiliensis (rubber tree). Lineage: Eukaryota; Viridiplantae; Streptophyta; Magnoliopsida; Malpighiales; Euphorbiaceae. The record is from RNAcentral.